This 253-nucleotide ribosomal RNA is filed under the name uncultured bacterium. RNAcentral's name for it is "partial 16S ribosomal RNA". It matches the Rfam family "Bacterial small subunit ribosomal RNA", at positions 524 to 776 of the family's 1533-position model. The record is from RNAcentral.
UACGUAGGGGGCUAGCGUUGUCCGGAAUCAUUGGGCGUAAAGAGCGUGUAGGCGGUCCGAUAAGUCGGCUGUGAAAGUCAGGGGCUCAACCCUUGAAAGCCGGCCGAUACUGUCGGACUAGAGUCCGGAAGAGGCAAGUGGAAUUCCCGGUGUAGCGGUGAAAUGCGCAGAUAUCGGGAGGAACACCAAUGGCGAAGGCAGCUUGCUGGGACGGUACUGACGCUGAGGCGCGAAAGCGUGGGGAGCAAACAGG